Long non-coding RNA from Ipomoea nil (Japanese morning glory), 428 nucleotides. RefSeq lists it as uncharacterized. NCBI's taxonomy places the organism in Eukaryota, Viridiplantae, Streptophyta, Magnoliopsida, Solanales, Convolvulaceae. The transcript has 2 exons. The record is from RefSeq and is a predicted model, not a curated record.
UUUGGCAUACCAAUUCUGAUUCAGUAUAUUGUUACUGUAUAAAUUAAUAUUUGUGUGUGAAUUUGUAUAGGUGAGGCUGAAAGGCAAGAAAAAGGGGAGAAGGCUGCCUAGGAUUCAACAUCCACCUGCAACACCGAAGAAGAAUCCGUUUAAUGAUGUUCCUCUGCAUAGAUGUGAGGGCAAUGAUCACUAUAAGGAAGAAGAUUAUGAAGAUGCUUGUUGACAAGAUUGAAUACCAGUGGGUAUCUUUCAUCAACGGGAUUGGUAGAGGAAUCUUGAUGACCAGUCUGCAUUUAUUGAUGUUAUUAAGGGUUUACUGAUAUAGACUAAUUGGAAUCUUUUGAGGUUCUAAAUUGUUUGUCUUAUGCAGUUAUGCACUUUGAACAGGAAAUAGAGAACAAAUAUUUUGCAUGACCUCAUUAAAUAUA